CCCUACGGGGUGCAGCAGGCGCGCAAACUUUACAAUGCGAGCAAUCGUGAUAAGGAAACCCUGAGUGCCUGUCGAUGCAGGCUGUUCAUAUAUCUAAAUCAUAUGUGAAGAAAGGGCAGGGCAAGACCGGUGCCAGCCGCCGCGGUAAUACCGGCUGCUCGAGUGAUGGCCACUAUUACUGGGUUUAAAGCGUCCGUAGCUUGACUGUUAGGUCUCUUGGGAAAUCUUCACGCUCAACGUGAAGGCGUCUAAGAGAUACCGGCAGUCUUGGGACUGGGAGAGGUAAACCGUACUUCGGGGGUAGGAGUGAAAUCUUGUAAUCCUCGAGGGACGACCUAUGGCGAAGGCAGUUUACCAGAACAGCUUCGACAGUGAGGGACGAAAGCUGGGGGAGCAAACGGGAUUAGAUACCCCGGUAGUCCCAGCCGUAAACAAUGUGCGUUAGGUGUGUCGGUAACCACGUGUUACUGAUGCGCCGAAGAGAAAUCGUGAAACGCACCACCUGGGAAGUACGGUCGCAAGGCUGAAACUUAAAGGAAUUGGCGGGGGAGCACCACAACAGGUGGAGCCUGCGGUUUAAUUGGAUUCAACGCCGGACAUCUCACCGGAUAAGACAGCUGAAUGAUUGUCAAUCUGAAGGUUUUACAUGACUAGCUGAGAGGAGGUGCA
Molecule: ribosomal RNA, 669 nt
Filed under: uncultured archaeon
Lineage: Archaea
Description: bacterial SSU rRNA
Rfam family: Archaeal small subunit ribosomal RNA
Source: RNAcentral